AAAAAGGCAUCAAACACUGUUCAGUUCAAGGGGCAGCCCAUUGACCAGAAAGGUAACUGUUGUGGCUAAGAUUUCUAUUGUGGUCUGGAUUCCAAAAAAAAGGAAAAAGGAAAAAGGAAAGAAAAGAAAAGAAGACGAGGCAAAUUGUAAACAACUGUUGACUAAACUUUCAUAUGAAACUCGCCGAACAGUUAUAAGUUUUAGACUUUAACCUUUCUUUCAAUUGUCUUCCGCCUUUACGAGAGGGGAAAGAAAAAUAGAAGAUUACUUCCACUAUGUUGGAGGGAUCUGGCUUGUAAGUUGUACAAUAUUCUCAAAAUUAUUUGAAAUGUAUUCAGUUGUGAGUAUCUUUAUGAGGUUAAUGUGAUAAGCCUGAAACGUCUUUUUCAUUUGAUACUUCUUUCUGUGUUCAUGAAUUAGCAAGCAAAUAUAUAGAAAUCGGUAACAAGGCCAAUUCUGAAAUGUCCAAAACCUUAACUGCAUGGGUUGGCAAAGUUGUCAUGAACAGCUGCCAUGCUGCAAGUGAAUAAAGUUGGACAUAAUUUUUUGAAAUGCUAUGUAUGGUUUAGUUGUAUUACACUGGUGAAUUAGAGCUUAAAAUUUAUUUUUGAAGAGAG
Molecule: long non-coding RNA, 617 nt
Filed under: Panax ginseng (ginseng)
Lineage: Eukaryota; Viridiplantae; Streptophyta; Magnoliopsida; Apiales; Araliaceae
Description: long non-coding RNA (PGIN_LNC008299)
Source: RNAcentral